UCUAAAAUAAAACAGUUUUGUAAACUGGACUUUCCAAUCGAAGCCGGAGAUAAUAAUUAAAGGAAGACCAACGCCGGAGCUAAAAGGUUUGCUACAGACUUUGGGACAGAAGACCUGUACUUUUCAAACGGUGUGGUGCACACGAAAAGGCUGGCUGUGUGGAUGUCCAAAUUUGCAGAGAACCCUCAUCAAACAUGAGCGGUCGACCACUCACAUUCAAAGCCAGAUUGCGCUCAAAACGUAAGGGAUAUCCAGGAUAGACUUGGCUUUGGAUGAACAGCGAAGACUCAACAUAAGCACCCACAAUGCUAAGACUCCUGCCAGCGCCGCUCAUCCAUCUGUGCGCACCUCUGGACACGCCCACGGGCGCACACAUCCAGGAACGAGCCGCACGCGUCCCCGCCCUGCAGCAGCAGCAGCAGCAGCAGCAGCAGCAGCCGCCAGCUCCAAUCAAUCACCGGCAAUCAUCACACCUGACAGUUAUGACGGAACUGCCUUAAUAAGCUCGGACAACCUGCCAUCGCGCACCGGAUUAUGGCGUUCUGUACCUGACACUCCCCGUGUCUCCUUUGAUCCCCUGUGGUUCCCCUUGCCUUCCGGACUGACCUUUUGGAUUCUCGACCUCCCGCUUGGACACGUUCCUCUCGACGCCUCUCGUAUGCCCCGGACCUUCUGCCUGACCCAUGGACUUUCGCGUUCUCUCUUCACAACUUUUUGGUAACACACACCUCAGUUAAAUUCUACACAUAGUCCGUCACCCAUUCCCUUUUGAAUCUAGUUCACACUCUAUUUCGUUAGUAUGUUUUCUAUUGUUUGAUUAUUAUAUAUAUAUAUAUAU
Long non-coding RNA from Nerophis ophidion (straightnose pipefish), 838 nucleotides. RefSeq lists it as uncharacterized. The transcript has 3 exons. NCBI's taxonomy places the organism in Eukaryota, Metazoa, Chordata, Actinopteri, Syngnathiformes, Syngnathidae. The record is from RefSeq and is a predicted model, not a curated record.